GAUGAACGCUGGCGGCGUGCCUAACACAUGCAAGUCGAGCGGAGUUGCUCCUUCGGGGGUAACUUAGCGGCGGACGGGUGAGGAACACGUAGAUAACCUGCCUUGUACUAAGGAAUAGCGUUCAGAAAUGGACGCUAAUGCCUUAUAAGCUCACACGGGAGCAUUUUCGAGUGAGAAAAGAUUUAUCGGUAUGAGAGGGGUCUGCGACUGAUUAGCUUGUUGGCGGGGUAACGGCCCACCAAGGCUGCGAUCAGUAGCCGGGAUAAGAGUCUGAACGGCCACAUUGGGACUGAGACACGGCCCAAACUCCUGCGGGAGGCAGCAGUGGGGAAUAUUGCACAAGGGGCGAAAGCCAGAUGCAGCAACGCCGCGUGAAGGAUGAAGGUUUUCGGAUUGUAAACUUCUUUAGGCAGGAACGAAUAAUGACGGUACCUGCAGAAUAAGCACCGGCUAACUACGUGCCAGCAGCCGCCGUAAGAC
RNAcentral lists this ribosomal RNA (480 nucleotides) under uncultured bacterium. RNAcentral's name for it is "partial 16S ribosomal RNA". It matches the Rfam family "Bacterial small subunit ribosomal RNA", at positions 28 to 526 of the family's 1533-position model. The record is from RNAcentral.